AUACGUAGGGGGCGAGCGUUGUCCGGAAUGAUUGGGCGUAAAGGGCGCGUAGGCGGCCCGGUAAGUCUGGAGUGAAAGUCCUGUUUUUAAGAUGGGAAUUGCUUUGGAUACUGUCGGGCUUGAGUGCAGGAGAGGUAAGUGGAAUUCCCAGUGUAGCGGUGAAAUGCGUAGAGAUUGGGAGGAACACCAGUGGCGAAGGCGGCUGUCUGGACUGUAACUGACGCUGAGGCGCGAAAGUGUGGGGAGCAAACAGGAUUAGAUACCCUGGUAGUCCAUGCCGUAAACGAUGAGUGCUAGGUGUUGGAGGGUUACCGCCCUUCAGUGCCGCAGCUAACGCAUUAAGCACUCCGCCUGGGGAGUACGACCGCAAGGUUGAAACUCAAAUGAAUUGACGGGG
RNAcentral lists this ribosomal RNA (397 nucleotides) under uncultured bacterium. RNAcentral's name for it is "partial 16S ribosomal RNA". It matches the Rfam family "Bacterial small subunit ribosomal RNA", at positions 523 to 918 of the family's 1533-position model. The record is from RNAcentral.